UGACAUGCCCUUCGUGUUUGACCUUGGAUU
RNAcentral lists this non-coding RNA (30 nucleotides) under Mus musculus (house mouse). The record is from RNAcentral. Lineage: Eukaryota; Metazoa; Chordata; Mammalia; Rodentia; Muridae.